ACACACACACACACACACACACAUACAUACAUACAAUUGGAGAAAAGAUGGCAUCUACAACAAAUGGCACUGGGAAAACUAUUUCUACAUGGCUUUGUGUUUAUCAGAGAUUUAAGAGGUUGAUUCAUCGGGGACCUUGGACAUAGUCCGUGGCUUUAUUGGCUACAAUCUUUAUGUUGUAGGAUAGGCUUUGGUGGAGCUAAGUGACCUAGACCAGCUUCUAAAUUGGACUUAUAAAAACCAUAAAACAGUUCAGAGGCGAUAAAGGAGGAGCAAAACAAGAAAGGGGGCCUGUCUGGGUUCCUUGAUGGCAGACACAGCACGAUUCGUGUCACCUUGGAGUCACAGAGAAAACCCAGAAAGCUGAAUGUUGUGCUGAUGAGCUCCUGGAAGUUUUAAAACCUGAGACGUUCACUGAUAAAACAAUACAGGAUCUCUGUUGCUGCCCAAGGUCAGCUGACACUUGAUACGGAUUAUGGUGUUGAUUGAUGCAGUCCUUCGAGCCGGUGGCGACAGGAACAACACGGACACCAAGUCGGGUUCACACAACAGCUUCUUUACUUCUGGGUUUUCCCCCUACAGCUUUCUUCCCCAGCAGCUUCUACUAUCUACUACCUCCGUCCUUCUUGCAGCAAGGGCUAAACUCCUAUCCUCCUCCGACUGACCUCAUCUCUCUCCACCCCACCUCAUCCAAUCAGAAUUCACACACACACACACACACACACACACACACACACACACACACACACACAUGCUCCAGGCACGAGCUCAGGUCAGUCACCGAUAGGCUGACAGGUCCGGAUCACGAGGAACAGUCCAGCCUGGCAGGCAGCCCACACAUGCAGCCUCACUGCGCAUGCUCAGGGAAGGCAGUAAACAUCUUGGCCCAUGUGGCUGCAUCCACUUCUUGCAGUUGAUUAAGGCAUUUGGGUUGACUAGAAGUUAUUCCCAUUCAUAGCUUUCACAUUGUCUCUUUAGUAUGACUUCUCUAUUAAAAAUGCCAACCUUUCAAUGGAUAUUACAUAUUUAAGGUUCCUCAAUUCUACUAAUUCUCCCAUGAUGUGAGGCCUGCCUUACAUCUUUGAUUCCAUGUGUUACCUGUAUGUAUGUAUGUAUUUGUGCAGAGAUGAGGGCUUUGGGCAUGCUAAGCAAACUGCUCUAUCAUUGAGCCAUAUACCCAGCCCCAUCUUUGAUGCCAUUAAUUUUGAUGCCUACAAAUUUUCUUUCUCAAGCAGGUUCUUGACUGAAUUAUUAUCUCAGAAUGUACGUUUGCAUACGUAAUCCCGUGUGAUGCUCACAGACAUGAAGUUGAUGUGGAUGGAUUUAUUUGGGUUUGUCUUCCUGUCAGGUCUGUUUUCUGAUUACAGGUUUUAUCUGCUCAGCAUGUUUCAUUUGCUGUCCUCACCACCCGGGUGAGUGGUGUGAGGAAGGGACUGUACCCAUCCAUUGUUCCAGGACUUGACAUACACUGAGGCCUGAUCAGUAAGAGGCAGUGAUACGUUAGUGGUCAGUAAAGCUCAAGCAAACUUAAUGUCUUAGUUAGGGUUCUAUUGUUGUGAAGAGACACCAUGACCACUGCAACUCUUACAAAGGAACACAAGUCACUGGGGCUGGCUGACAUUUCAGAGGCUUUGUCCCUUAUCCCAAUGCUGGGGAGCAUGGCGGAGCAAAGGCAGACGUGCUGCUGGAGAAGGAGCUGAGAGUUCUACAUCUGAAUCAUCAGGCUGCAGGAAGAGAGAGAUGCUGGAACUAGCCUGAGCAUUUGAAACUUCAAAGCCCAUCCCCACCGACAUACUUCCUUCAACAAAGCCACGCCUCCUACUGGUGCCAUUCCCUGAGUCUAUGGGCUCCACUUUUAUUCAAACUACCAUAAGAAGCAGCCUUGACACUCUACUUGGGACUAUGAACAUUAAGAACCCUGAUAACUUGAGUCACUAGGAGAUGAAUUUGCCUCCAUUGUAGAGACUGAGGGAAAGGUAACAGAUACAGUGGAAAACAAUAGCAGAACGUAAGCAGUUGCUCAUUUAGUGAUGCCUGAGUCUCUGGCUUCAUAGACCGGAUUCUUUCACAGACAUGAACUUUGCUGAUGUGGUAGUAACGUGUUUAUGGGCAAGCUGAGAGGAUGGAAGGGAAGCGAGGCACGUUCAUAUUAUACAUAAUCAGAAUAAUUUUCCUUUAAAAUUCAAAAUAUACACUAUAUUUCGAUCAUAUUUUCCCCUUCCCUGACCCCUUCCAGAUCCUUCCCACCCAACUUCAUGUGCUCUCUCUCACUCAAUCUCCCCCAAUAAAGAGGACAAUUAAAACAAACAAAGCAACAUGACCAAAAUGCCAAAACAAAGCAGGCAAGCAAACAAACAAAAUAAAAUAACAAUAGCAACAAAACAAAAAAAACCCAAACAUGGAGUUUGUUUUGUUCUGGUCAACUAUUCCUGGGCAUGGGGCCUGCUCCGAAGUGUGGGGUUCAUAUACCCAGUGACAUUCUAUUGGAGAAAACUAAUUUUUCAUUUCCCAGACAGCAUUGAUUAUGAAUUGCAAUUAGCUUUUUCUUUAGGGGCAGAAAUGUGUGUUCCUUAUUAGUGUUGGGGUUUUUAUCUGACUUGAACCUAGGCAGAUCUUGUGUGUGUGUAUUGUCACCAUCUCUGUGAGUUCAUAUGUGCCACAGUCCUGUUGUUUCUGGAAGAUACUGUUUUGUUGGCUUCAUCACCACCUCCUGGUUCUUACAUGUUUUCUGCUUCUUUUGCUUGAGUGCAUGAGCUCUGAGGGGAGGAGUUUAAUAAAGACAUUCCAUUAGGGCUGGGUGCUCCAAAGUCUCUCACUCUCUGCACAUUGUCCAGCUGUGGGUCUCUUUUGAAAAUUUCAUCUAUUGCAAGAAGUUUCUCUGAUGAGAGCUGAUGAUGAUCUGUCUAUGGGUAUAGCAGCAUGUUAGUAAGUUAUUUUAUUGCUAUGUUCCUUUAGAAAAAUAAUAGUAUUAGGUUUUCUCCUAGGACCCUUGACCUAUCUA
This is a long non-coding RNA of Mus musculus (house mouse), 3001 nucleotides long. RefSeq annotates it as zinc finger protein 286, opposite strand. NCBI's taxonomy places the organism in Eukaryota, Metazoa, Chordata, Mammalia, Rodentia, Muridae. The transcript has 3 exons. The record is from RefSeq and is a predicted model, not a curated record.